Long non-coding RNA from Bos indicus x Bos taurus (hybrid cattle), 1020 nucleotides. Lineage: Eukaryota; Metazoa; Chordata; Mammalia; Artiodactyla; Bovidae. The record is from Ensembl.
GAAAUAUUUUCUAGCUUUCAAAGAAGUUUUAUGCAGAUCAUAAUCCAAUGAAAAGGGGAUACACUACUAUUCAAAUGACCACUCCAUUCUAAAAGUAUCACAGAGUAUCAAUUUUCAGAAUAGUACUAGAAGAGACCUAAAUGGUAACUUGGAAAUUUCUUGGUAGUAAAAGCGGAUUCAAUAUUUUUCACUCAGCAAUUUGAAAUAUGCUUAAGCUUAUAUUUUAAUUUUUCUUGUGGGUCUUUUGUUAAUAAAAUUGUCAAAAUAAUAUUCUAUGGGAACUUAACUGUUAAUUGGUGAAAAGAGACAAAAUGUUUGAGGAAAAAAAUUGGUUACAUUAUGCAGUUAUAUCGUAGAUAAGUACAGAUGACACAGAGUGGACUUCACACAUGGCUGAAACACUCUGAUAGUAGCAGUGGCAUAUUUGUAGUAGGUCUGUGUGAAUGUGUGCUGGGCUAGCAUGGGCCUAAAUACACACAUGUGUUUGUGCUCUCUCCAGAGGAGUUCUAAUCUUCAGUUAGUGCAGUUGUGAGGAGUUGCACUUAUGAAUAUAUGUUGGUCUAUCCUGUGUCACAUGUGAAUGAAUUUGUGUAAAAUGAUGAAUCUGAAUGAAUAUGACUUUGUGUUUACAUUAUCUGUAAGGCUUCCUUGGUGGCUCAGAUGAUAAAAGCAUCUGCCUGCAAUGCGGGAGAUCCAGGUUCAAUCCCUGGGUCAGGAAGAUGCCCUGGAGAAGGAAAUGGCAACCCACUCCAGUACUCUUGCCUGGAAAAUUCCAGGGACAGAAGAACCUGGUAGGCUACAGUCUACGGGGUGCAAAGAGUCGGACACGACUGAGCAACUUCACUUUCUUUUAUGUUAUCUGUAUCAAAGACCAUACAAAAAUCCCAGAAUGAAAGUCAUGAUGCUCAUUAGGAAUCAGAAUACAAUACUGAUGGCAACUGCAUCCUCAAGAACAAAGGAGGAAUCUAAAGGUGUAUCUCAUGGCUCAGCAGAAAACUUUCACUUAAGAGGUAAUUUAUG